Molecule: unclassified non-coding RNA, 4926 nt
Filed under: Agrilus planipennis (emerald ash borer)
Lineage: Eukaryota; Metazoa; Arthropoda; Insecta; Coleoptera; Buprestidae
Description: calcium homeostasis endoplasmic reticulum protein, transcript variant X2
Source: RNAcentral
AUCUGUGGUUCAGCCGAAGCCGAAUUACAAAAAUUUUGCUCGUGAAAGAUGGUGGGCUUGCUGAAGUAUGUAAGUGUAUAUAUGGAAUGUUAUUUUACAAAUUAGAAUACUGAAGACGUUUUAAAUGUGUUCAUCUUUUCAUUAAAUACAUAAAUAAUGGAUUUACCUCAACCGCCACAAGAUACCGAACUUAGGAACAUAAUAGACAAAUUAGCCCAAUUUGUAGCUCGAAAUGGCCCAGAAUUCGAGCAAAUGACAAAAAAUAAACAGAAAGGCAAUCCAAAGUUUCAAUUUUUAUACGGAGGAGAGUAUUUUAAUUACUAUCAAUACAAAGUUACAACAGAACAAGCUAUUUUGAAACAACAAGGUAUAGGACUUGCACCUCAAAGUGAUUGGAAUCAACCUCAAAGUGUAAUUACUCAGGACAGUCCAGAAUUAGAACAUUUAACACAACAGCAAGAUGCAUUAAGGGAGCAAAUUAAGCAAAGUGAACAGAAUCUUAAUGCACAACAUACGGUGCUUCUACAACAACAACAAGCUCAAGUAGAAGAAACAAUUACAAAGUGUCAGUUGACAAGUCUUCAAGAAGAAGCUGAACAGUGUAAUUUGCAAUUAAAUGAGUUGUAUAAGUUAUUACAACCAAUCAUUGAUUCUUGUACAAAAGACAGCAUAAGUAAUGGAAAAUCAUGGAUAUUACAACAUGCUACUAGUAAAGAAAGGGCAAUUUGUAUAUCCCAUUGUCUUCUGUACAAAGUUGUACAAGGAAAUGCUCCAUUUUCCCAAAAGUUACAUAUUAUUUAUCUCGUUAAUGAUGUAUUACAUCAUUGUGCUCGUAAAAAUGCAAUCGAUCUGAAAGAGGCUUUAGAAAAAGUCGUUGUACCGAUGAUGUGUAAUGCAAGUAUUGGUGCAACUGAGGACCAGGCCGUAAAAUUAGAAAAACUAUUAAAAUUGUGGGAAUCGAAAUCGAACUAUUUAUCAUCACAAACGGUGGACAAGAUGAGACAGCCGGCCCCUAGCUAUCAACAGUUUAAAACUGACGAAAUUGCGCGUUUUGCAAACGAAGUAGCUCCCCUCGCUCAGCAAACAAAAGUGACCUUCGAAGGGUAUCAACAGCAACACCAGGCAUUUGUAUGCCAUGCUAUGCAACAAAUUAUGGACUUGCAGAAUCAGAAGCAGGCCAUUGAACAGCAGCAGCAAUCGGUAAUUCAACAACAGUCACAGGGGCCACAACAACCCAUUCAGUCUCAACCUCCACCCCAACACAGCAACCUCAUACCACUGGAUGCUUUAAGAGCGGAAAUUCAGCAAAAUAUGUCUCAACAACAAUUACCUCCCUUAAAUGAUAGAAUGAACAAUGGUUGUCUUGAACCGAAUGACAUAACAUUGGCUCCACCCCCACCAACGAUAAAUCAAUCAAAUUCCGCGAUACAACCAAUAGCACAAAGUAACGGUUACGUGCCGCCGAUGAAUCCGAAUGUGCCACCACCGUGUAUGAGUCAACCGGCCGUUGAAUCUUUACCACCUUUUACUCAACCUCCUCCCGGUUUUUUUCCGCCACCCGGCAUGUUUCCAGAUUUUUCGAAACCACCGCCCGGUUUUCCACCAACUGCGCAGCAACCUCCUAAACCUGAGCCUGAGGAACUGCUACCCACUGUUCCGUAUUAUGAUCUACCAGCAGGACUUAUGGUUCCUCUGAUUAAGUUGGAAGACACCUCUUUUAAACCGUUAGAUCCUAAAGAUAUUAGGUUGCCACCACCUCAACCGCCCAGCGAGAGGCUUCUCGCUUCCGUCGAAGCGUUCUAUGCACCGCCAAGCCACGAAAGACCGAGAGACAGCGAAGGCUGGGAAAAGUUAGGUUUGUACGAAUACUACAAGGCAAAGAACAAUGCUAAGCGCGAGAAGGACGAGGCCAUCAAGGCAGGUCUCAGGGAGAAAUCUCGCAGCCCCAGCCCGGUAGUCAUCCCGAUUGAAAAGGAACCGUCACCACCUCGAAGACGUUACAGCAGCCUAUCUCCAACCACAACGUCGAGUACUAACAGAAAAAAAUCACGGUCGAGGUCGCGAUCACCGAGGAGGCAUCGCAGAAGGAGCAGAAGCCGGAGCCGAAGUCGAAACAGAAGGAGGAACAGUCGACGGAGUCCUAGUUCCUCCAGGUCACGGUCGCGCUCGCGGUCACCACCAUCUUCAAUGCAUUCAUUUAGAAGAUCCCCGUCUCCACCCAGUUCCUUUGGUUUCGGAAAUAAUUUUUCGAGAUCAGAUGUUCUGCAAGAGCAACUGGACUCGAAUAAUAAAGGUCAUCAGAUGCUGCGGAAGAUGGGUUGGGGUGGUAGCGGUCUCGGAGCUCACGAGCAGGGGAUUGAUUCACCGAUAUCUGGGGGCGAUGUGCGUGAUCGUCAGGAUCAAUUUAAAGGAGUUGGUUGCGACCUUAAUGAUCCUUAUGAAAAUUUUCGAAAGAAUAAGGGUGCCGCAUUCAUCACGAGGAUGAAAGCAAGAGCGGAAGAAAGGGCGAAUGAAAGUAAGUAAUUCUUUUUAGCUGUAGUAUUUUAUAGAUGUAGUAUAACAAAAAUUGAGGUUUUUGAAAUUUCCAGUUUUUCUUCUAGUAAAAUCAACAAUAAAUAAAAAAAAAAAUUAAUUAGUUAAUUCAAAAGCAGAGAUAGAUCCCUUUUUCUAUUCAUAAAACGACUAUUUACAUUUCAUCAAUCAAUAAAAAACAAAGAUGACAGUACAUGACAGUACAUUUUCAAAUGAUUUCUUCUAUUAUAUUACAGCACAUAUAAAAGCGUUGUUUAAAUAGAUAAAAUCAAUGUAAGAUUUAACAAAAAAAGUGAAACUCUGUAUGCAUAUGCAGUAAUUAAAGGAUAUCCUAACUAUUUACUUGGGUUAACACAGGAAGUAACGAAUGUCUACCCACGAGAAAUUGUUAUUUAUAAACCUUUGCUUAAAACACCUGUUCAUAUGCGCUAUCAAUAAAAUGCUAAUUAUAAAAGCACGUUUUUAAUGAAAAGAAAUUAUACACGUUUGCUUUUGCAUUUUUGUUAAAGUAUAAUGUAUUAUUUAUUACUGUUAUUUACUAAGGGGUCGUUCAUAAAAUACAUUCGCAAAAAGGGGGGAGGGAGGGGUAUUGCUCAGCAUGGAGAGACAUGGCAAGCGGAACGGGUUCUAAGGAAAUGUGACGUUCGCAAUUCAUAAUUUUUUUUCUUAACUUUUUCAUUACGACAGAAAGUCAUUCUCAUUGCCAUUUUUAAUCUCACAAAAAAAAUCUUUUUUAUAAGGGGGUGGGGGAGUGGACUAACUUUUGUGACGUAAUGUUCGUUGAGGGGUCACUGAAAGUGUGACUUGGAGCGGAAUGAAAGGGGCGGGAGGGGUUCAAUAAAGUGAAAUUCUGAGUGACGUAUUUUAUGGACGACCCCUAACUACCUAUACUACUACAUAAAGACAAAUGACCUGUAUGCACUCGCUAAACGCGAAAACUGCUGUACCGAUUUGCAUGAAAUUUUUACAUUACAUUUUUAAUGAUACAAAGAAGGACGUAGAGUAUUAAAGAUGUCGAAAUUGUUAAUAACAACGUGAUAAUAAUAAUUGUUCAAUUUUAUGAUGGAGGGGGAACCUUCGUUUCUCCCGUCUUACAAACGGUGCUGAACUUUUAAGAGGGCCGAGCACAUCGUAUUAUUGACAUUUCCAAGAUUAGGGCGGGUUGGUAAUGCUAUAUACUUAAGCUUCUUCAAAAUAAAAAGGAAGUUUCAAAACAGUAGAUACUGUUAUUGUAUAAAUUUUUAAUCAAAAUAAAAUUUUAAUUUCUUUCUUGAUCACAUGGUGCAGUUAUUCAAAUUCGUAUUUCAUGAAGCAAUAUAGCGGGUGUUAUAAAUAUCAUAAAUGGAAACGAUGGGACAAGCUUUUUAAAAACAGAAUAUAUUCUGUUUUUCAAUAUGACUGUAUCAUUGUAUUGCUUAUUCACAGAAGAAAUGUUUUUGAACACUCUGUAAACGUUUGAUACUAAAAAUUUCUGUGGAACGUAAAACACGUGUUUCGGGACGGAUAACAACGUUAUGCACGUGUUUUUUCAUGUAAUAACGUGAUACUUGUUUGUUAAAUGCAAACUGUAGAAUAAAGUAACGUCUAUGUAUGGUGAAAUGUUAUAUCGUUGCUGUGUUAUCGAACCGCAUUGUUUGUACAAUCCAAAUGUUCACGUGAUCAUUGAACUUAAAAAAAAACCAUAACAGUCACAUAAUAAUGCACUUGCCCCUGAGUCCUUAUCGAAAGAAAAAACGCUGUUAUGUUCAGUUUUUUUCCAGAUAAGUGCGUCAAUACAUACAUUUAUUACUUUGUUUGUCGCAAAUUAGGGAGCUUCGGGACGAUGGGGAGAUGGACGGAUGAUUUGCUUAUAUGAGAGUUUUUCACCCGUGAAGGUCGGUUGAUGAUUACGGCGAGGUUUUUGUCUGAACUCGCGUUUUGCCGGACAUUUUACUUAUCUACAAUUAGCGAGAAAAGCACGCUAACUGACGGAUCACACACAAACGUUGACGUACCUCGUAAAAGCAUUUUUUAGCAGCCAUAGAUAAUAAAGUUAUAUGUGUUUUCGAAACUUAUUAAUUAAUUCAUUUAAACUCAAAAAAACGAUGUUGCUAGCGGUUAUAAGCGAUCACCGUGUAUAUUAUAUACAAGGUGGUUAGAUUCCGUUGUUCGAGACGUUUUAAUACAUUUCCCAAAAACCAUUUACUGUAGUCCAUUUUAUGUAACUUUGAGGAGUUUUAUUAUUAUUGUUCUUUUUAAUAUUGGUUAAAACGACAAGGUGAACGACUGAAUCAUGCGCGUAGUAGAAGACUGCUUCGAGCAAGAUUUUAAAGAUAAUUAAUUACUUAUUGUUUUGUACUGUUAUGUAUAUUAGCUGUACGUGUAAAAAGUAUAAAUAAAUUUUUUCCAUUAAAA